GCUAAGAAUAUUCCGCAAUGGACGAAAGUCUGACGGAGCGACGCCGCGUGGAUGAAGAAGGCCGAAAGGUUGUAAAAUCCUUUUGCUGAUGAAGAAUAAGUGCGGGAGGGAAUGCCCGUAUGAUGACAUUAGUCGGUGAAUAAGCCCCGGCUAACUACGUGCCAGCAGCCGCGGUAACACGUAGGGGGCAAGCGUUGUUCGGAAUUAUUGGGCGUAAAGGGCAUGUAGGCGGUUUCGUAAGCCUGGUGUGAAAUCUUGCAGCUUAACUGUAGAAUUGCAUUGGGUACUGCGAGACUUGAAUCACAGAGGGGAAACUAGAAUUCCAGGUGUAGGGGUGGAAUCUGUAGAUAUCUGGAAGAAUACCGGUGGCGAAGGCGGGUUUCUAGCUGAUGAUUGACGCUGAGGUGCGAAAGUGCGGGGAGCAAACAGGAUUAGAAACCCUUGUAGUCC
RNAcentral lists this ribosomal RNA (450 nucleotides) under uncultured bacterium. RNAcentral describes it as "partial 16S ribosomal RNA". It matches the Rfam family "Bacterial small subunit ribosomal RNA", at positions 354 to 796 of the family's 1533-position model. The record is from RNAcentral.